UGCCCGUUGGUCAAGUGGUUAAGACACCGCCCUUUCACGGCGGUAUCACGGGUUCGAAUCCCGUACGGGUCA
This 72-nucleotide transfer RNA is filed under the name Bacillus sp. JCM 19045. RNAcentral describes it as "tRNA-Glu". It matches the Rfam family "tRNA". From Rfam's summary of the family: Transfer RNA (tRNA) molecules are approximately 80 nucleotides in length. Lineage: Bacteria; Bacillati; Bacillota; Bacilli; Caryophanales; Bacillaceae. The record is from RNAcentral.